UACGAGGGGGGCAAGCGUUGUCCGGAAUUAUUGGGCGUAAAGAGCUCGUAGGCGGUCUGUUGCGUCCGCUGUGAAAACUCGGGGCUUAACCCCGAGCCUGCAGUGGAUACGGGCAGACUAGAGGUAGGUAGGGGAGAAUGGAAUUCCCGGUGUAGCGGUGAAAUGCGCAGAUAUCGGGAGGAACACCGGUGGCGAAGGCGGUUCUCUGGGCCUUACCUGACGCUGAGGAGCGAAAGCGUGGGGAGCGAACAGG
Molecule: ribosomal RNA, 253 nt
Filed under: uncultured bacterium
Lineage: Bacteria
Description: partial 16S ribosomal RNA
Rfam family: Bacterial small subunit ribosomal RNA
Source: RNAcentral